This 2348-nucleotide long non-coding RNA is filed under the name Nicotiana tabacum (common tobacco). RNAcentral's name for it is "long non-coding RNA (NTAB_LNC000913)". The record is from RNAcentral. Lineage: Eukaryota; Viridiplantae; Streptophyta; Magnoliopsida; Solanales; Solanaceae.
AACAGCCCUACCCUUUUUUGUUCACCUGCAACUCUGUUUGAAAUCUCAAGUCGCAACAGAGAAAUCUCGGAGGAAGAAAAGAGUUGAAAUUUUUCUCCCGUGAUGCAGUUACCUGCUAAAAAUAUAAAUUAUAAGGUUCCGAUGUCAAUUUCAAACAUCAAAAGUUAUUAAGUUUACUUACUUGGAAGAAUGUGGAAACGAAGUCUUUAAGGAGAAAAAAAGUUCCGAUUUGAAACAUAACUAAAAAGAGAAAUUAACACAAUGUAACAAUUAUUUGUAACCUUUCAAAAAAGGUUCGAGGACGGGUGAUGUUAAGUUCCUUUUUCAGGAAAAAAUUACUUGUUGCUCAUAUGUUUUAUCCAAACUUUGGAACAAAGAUAUAGCAAGAAACAUACAGCGAAUGGCUAAUGAAUCCAAGGCAACUCAUACCGGAGGUGAAAGAUCAUGUUUUCACCUAAAUGCUCUUUCCCUGGAAAUCCUGUAAGAUGACAUCUGGAAGACGAUCCGGUAUUACUAAAGAUGGAACAUAUCAUACUACCUGACGAUACAUAAACACCAAAAUCAAAGUGAAUGAAAGUCAUAUUAAAUAUAGGGUUCAUAUUACCAUAGAAAAUGAAAUCUAACUACUGUAUAUUAGUGUAUGCAUAGACUCCAUAACUAUUUGCAGUCCUAAAGACGCCAUGAAAGAAGUGAAAAUAGUGGUAUCCUGUGUAUCACUUACCAAAGCAAACCAGGAAAAUCAGUAGCCAAAGGGAAAAGAAGAAAUAAUUUAUGUAAUAUUUACACAUUCAUGUAUGUAUGUAUUAUUUGUGUAUGUAUACGGUAGCAAAACUUCAUAUUACCAUAGAAAACGAAAUCUAACUAUCAUAUAUUAGUGUAUACAUAGAUUCCAUAACUAUUUGCAGUUCUAAAGACUCCAUGGCAAAAGCGAAAAUAUUAUUUAACCUAUAUAUUAUUUACCAAAGCAAAGCAGGAAAAUAAUUAAGUAGCCAAAGGGAAAAGAACAAACAAUUUAUAUAAUAUUUACACAUUCGUGUAGGUAUGCAUUGUUUGUGUAGGAAUAUGAUAGCAAAACUAAAAGCACGUAAUACAGAGCAUUUGGCCACACUGGCUAUCACAAGAAUAUCAGCUGGCAUACUUUAAGGGUUACUCAUCUCAAUAUUUUUUUUAUUAACAUGAGCUUUCACGUUGGCGACGUUACUAACUUCCUCGGGAUGAUCCACGCAGUAUUGCAUCUGCUCAUAAAGUUUGUCCCUAUAUAUUAUUGUUAUGGUGAAGGCAGUUAGCACUCUCAAUACCCUCAAUCAUAAUGGAGAAGAAAGUAGAGAAUUAAAAAAAUAUAAUAUAUCCAAAUUCCCUGUUCAAGCCGCUGCAAAAGUUUUGCCUCCUCUAUAUUUAUUGGUGAAGUCCUUCUUAGUUAUCUCUAGAAAUGUAGUUGAAGAACAAUUGUUGUUCAUUUUUCUAUAACACAUUUUUUGAUCCUCUUCUGUUUUCCAUAUAUGUACAGAAAGGAGGGUAAAAAUGACCUAGACUACUGUGAAGGAAAGAAACAUAGAAACACUACAUCAACAACAAUUUUAAUCAACAUUUUUAUGACACAUUAUCCAAGAGACAUGCGGAUCAAACAUAUUCUAGUAACAGUUGGCCCCUUAACUUUGAAUCUCAUUUAUCUUUGAAGGUUGGGCGCCCAACAAUCAGGGGAAAUAUUCCUAUCGCCAGGACUAUAUUUUUGAUAUUGAAAAGGAAUAGCUAGCUUCUUUAAGUAGUUGGUUAAACUUUUAUAGGGUGAUUGAAGUAUAAAUUGAUUUCUGUAAAUUGAACAAUAUGACUAUUACAUUAGUGAAUGCUCUUUUAUUGAAACAUAGGAGGACAAAGCAGGAAUCUAAACUUAAAAAAAGAAGGAAAAACUUUUUUACCAAAUGCAGUGAUAGGCAUAACUAUGGUAAAAGUCCAAAUUACCACUUUCAGACAUAUCAUCAACCACCUUGUGACUAGACCACAGACUUUCUGGUUAGUUUUGCACUAGUUAGUUGGUAACAAGGACAGAAUUAAUCAAACAUAAUGCAUGUGCAAAUCAGGCGCAAUCACUAAUAAGUCUAAUAUGCAUAUAGAAUUCCAGUAAGAAAUUAUUAAAAAAGAAAAGAAAAUAACAUAUAUGCACACAAAAUUGUGAUUACAAAUAAAAAAGUGCAAAAAUAACUUCAAAAACAGAAAGGCCACGUGAUACAAAUAGAGCAAAAUUGACAAUCAAUGUAAGAGUGAAGACCAAAAAAAAAAUAUGUACUACACUACAUUCACACUGCAACGCGCAUACACAUCAGCACUUCAAUUCCAUUAUAGAACCCAAU